Molecule: long non-coding RNA, 5695 nt
Filed under: Homo sapiens (human)
Lineage: Eukaryota; Metazoa; Chordata; Mammalia; Primates; Hominidae
Description: HSALNT0060542
Source: RNAcentral
UUGGAAAUAUGGUCUUUCUAGAUGUAAUCAAGUAACGAUGAGUCAUCCUGGAUUGGGGGCUGCUGGUGAGGGGGCAGAUGCAAUGACUGGUGUCCUUAUAAAAGAAGAGAAUGAGGGCUGGGCAUGGUGGCUCAUGCCUGUAAUCUCAGCACACUUUGGGAGGGUGAGGUGGGGGGAUCACUUGAAGUCAGGAGUUCGAGACCAGCCUGGCCAAUAAUAACAAUAAAAAAGCCAUUUUAGAUUCCAAUCCACUGAAAGAAAACUGUCCCUUAGUUAAUGUCAUGCUUAUUGGAUCCAUGAAGUCUUUGCAAAUUUAAACUACAAGGACACUGCUCUCUGUGGUGGUGGAGAGAAUACCAAGGAUUUAAAGGUCUUUAAGAAAGAGAAUGUAGAAAUCGUACCCAUUGGAAACAGCAAGAUGAUGAUAAUCGUACUGACAGUAAUAAUAAGCUCAAAUAUAUAGAGCUUACUAUGUAUCAUGAAUUGUUCUGAAUGCUUCAUAAAUAUACGUUCCCUCCUUUACCCUCAUGGCAGCCCAGUAAAGGCGCCAUUCCCCAUUUUACAGCUGGGGAAACUGAGUUACAGAGCUUUUCUGCACUGAGUCAUCAGGAGCAAAUGCUAGAUCAGGUAAUUGAACCCAAGCAAUCUGGUUCCAGAGCCAAAGAGAUGUAUUUUUUAUGGUAUAAAAACAUAUACAUACAUUUUUAGGGGAAGGGUGGGGGUAGGAUGGGAUGAGGAUUCUGGGUAAUUGCUUGGUAAAUGCCAAAUACCUUUCUUGUCUGUCCCUCUUUUCAAAUGAUAAAGUAAUGUCAAUUGCAGCACUUUUUUUUUUUUUUUGAGACAAGUUCUAGCUGGAGUACAGUGAUGCAGUCAUAGCCCACUGCAGCCUGAAAUUCCUGGGCUCAAGCGAUCCACCCACAUCAGCUUCCCAAGUAGUUGGGACUACAGGCCCACACUAGUAUGCCCAGCUAAUUAUUUUAAUUUUUGUAGAGAUGGCAGGUGGCGGUGUGGGGGUGUCUCUCUAUGUUGCCCAGGCUGGUCUCGAACUCUUGACCUCAAGUGAACCUCCUGCCUCAGCCCCACAAAGCUCUGGAAUUAUAGGUGUGAGCCACUGUGGCUGGCUACAACACUAUUUAUUUAUAUUUUGGACCAACAGAUAUUCUAGCAUAUAAGAAAUGUGAUGCUCUCUGUACAUUGAAGAGUUGGUCUAAUAUUUGUCCUGGUCGAUACAGAAAUUGCCUGUUUGCUCCACUCUGGUUGAAGAAACCAGUCUGACUGUCUCUGAGGCUAUGGAGCAGUCCAUCAAGAAUGAAAGCCCUCUGCCAGGCACGUUGGCUCACACCUGUAAUACCAGCACUUUGGGAGGCCGAGGCAGGUGGAUCACUUGAGGUCAGGAGUUCGACACCAGCAUGGCCAACAUGGUGAAACCCUGUCUCUACAGAAAAUAAUACUUUGCAAGGCCUCAGAAACUCUGCUAUCCACAGGCAGGUAGAAGUUGCUGGUCCCAUCUUGCUCACAAUCCUCCAAAGUUUGGAAGUUACUUUCCAGGAGACUUAGCUUGCACUGAGAGCUGCCCUCCCACCCUCUCUCCAAAUUUCCUCUUGGGAGUAGCCUAACAAGGUGCUGUCACAGACCCUUGCCAGCCACGAUGACCCCACCCAGACCAUCCCUCUGCUGUUUCACUCUUUGAUACUCUCUGGAGCUCUCUGGGGAGGGGUGAGACCUGCUGUCUGCUUUGUACUGUUUGCCCAGGUCUUACAGUCAUGGCUGGCUCCUCUCUCUGAGAACUGGGACUCCUGAACUUGGUGAAAUACCUCAGCCAUCGAUCAUGUUAAAUUAUCGGGGACACUCAUUAAAAAUGUGAGUCUGCUCCAGAUGGACUCUCUCUCUUUCUGCCCUGACCGUGAGGGAGACCGUGAGAGAGAGAGACCGUGAGAGAGAGAAACCGUGAGAGAGACCAUCAGAGAGAGAAAGAGAGACCGUGCCCUGACCUGCUGGACAGUGGAGAUGCUUGUGGGCUGUGAGCAACAGAUGCAAGGGCUGCCGGGAAUCCCAUCUUUCCAGCAUCAUCUGCCAAGGCACAUCAGUUCCUGGGUGUCUUGAUGGGUUCUGGCAGCAUUACUGUCAUUGAAGGAAAACAUUUUAGCCAUAUUAAAGGUGAACUCAGCAAUCCCCACACAGCCUGCCUGGAAGGGACGCGGGACAAGGGUAGGUUCUCCCUGUGAUGGACAGGAGGCAGGCGACCCUCCCACAGCCCUACCUGGCAAUGCAGAUGUGUCCCCAAAAGGCACUGGGGGCAGCUGGAGUGCUGUGCCUAGGCGGGCUCACCCGGGCAGCGGUUCGCUCUGAUUGCAGUGGUUUCCCACCAGCUCCUUGGAGAGCUGGCAGAUGACCCAGCCCCACAGCAGGAGCCGGGAAUGGCAGAACGAGAUACAACAAUUUGAUAUCCACUUGCCAGAUGAGCCGGGUGUCCUCAGUCGCCUGGCUCUGUGCCCAACCUCUUUUUACAUAAACACUUAUGAAUUGAGCCAGGAGGAAAAGCACUCUGAUUAUGAAUUGAGCAGAAGGAAACAAAGUUCUGCAGAUAAACACCAAUGAAACAAAAAACCACGAAUAAGAAAAAUGACAGAAAAGGAGAACCUUCCCAGAAGCCUCCUGCCAGUGAACGGUCACCAGAGCAAGAGCAUGGAGGCCCUGGGUUUUGAACUGUGAGAUAAGGAAGAUGAUGAAAACCUCCCUAGCAGCCAGGCAAGCACAAGAUUCCUGUGAAAUCCAGGUCUAAGUGUUUUGACAACAGAAGUAAUAUUAUGUCAUAGGUGAGAGCUGUGAGUUGCUGAACCCAAAGUGAGUUCAAAUCCGAGCUCUGCCUCCUGCUACCUGUGUGACUUUGAGAAGUUCCAGCACUGCUUUGUGCCUCAGUUUUGUCAUCUGUUAAAUGGGCGUAAUCACAGCUCCUGCCUCAGAGUUGUUGUAAAUUAAUACAUGUAAAGCACUGAAAUCAGCCUGGUAUAUAGUAAGUGUUAUGAACGUUAUUUUCUUGGAAGGACAGAACUUAUUUUCAUGGUCUAAUCCUGAAAGUCUAAAAAAUGUGAGAGAAGAGGAAAGAAUCUAGAGUCUCACCAUGAGGGGGAAAAGUCAACUUGAAGCAGGACAGGGUCAUUGACAAUUUCCUGUGAUUCCACAGCUGCCUUGUACACUAUGGUAGCUCCUAGCCACUCGUUGUUUAGAUUUUGUGAUUUAGAAAUGAAUUAAGGCCGGGCAUGGUGGCACACCUGUAAUCCCAGCAUUUUGGGAAGCCAAGUUGGGCAGAUCACCUGAGGUCAGGCGUUCAAGAUCAGCCUGGCCAACAUGGUGAAAUCUCGUCUCUACAAAAAUACAAAAAUUAGCCGGGCAUGAUGGUGGGUUCUUGUAAUCCUGGCUACUCAGGAGGCUGAAGCAGGAGAAUUGCUUGAACCUGGGAGAUGGAGGUUGUAGUGAGACGAGAUUGCACCACUGCAUUCCAGCCUGGAGGAGAGAGUGAGACUCUGUCUCAAAAAAAAAUUUAGUUAAGAGAAAAUUGAAAAUUCAGUUCUUCAUUCUCACCAGCCACAUUUCAAGGGCUCAUCAGCCCAUGUGGAUGUCUAGCAGCUCCCAUGUUGGAUAGUGCAGAGUAGAGCAAGUCCGCCAUUGCAGAAUGUUUGAUUGGACCAUGACUGAAUAGUCUAUUGCAGUGGUCCCCAAUUUUUUUUAGCACCAAGGACCAGUUUCCAUGUAUUUGUGGGGGGAAGUUUCAGGAUGAUUCAAGUGCAUUACAUUUAUUGUGUACUUUGUUUCUAUUGUUAUUAACAUUAUAAUAUAUAAUGAAAUCAUUAUACAACUCACCAUAAUGUAGAAUCAGUGGGAGCCCUGCGCUUGUUUUCCUGCAGCUAGAUAACCCCUUCUCCAGGUGGUGGGAGACAGUGACAGAUCAUCAGGCAUUAGAUUCUCAUAAGGAGCACACAACCUAGAUCCCUUCCACAGGCAGUUCACAAUAGGGUUGGUGCUCCUAUCAGAAUCUAAUGCCGCUGCUGAUCUAACAAGAGGCAGAGCUCAGGCGGUAAUGCUAGCCAUGGGGAGCAGCUGUAAAUACAGAUGAAGCUUCACUCACUAGCCCACUGCUCACCUCCUUCUGUGCAGCCCAGUUCCUAACAGGCCACAGACCACUACUGGUCUGUGGUCUGGGGGAUGGGGACCUCUGGUCUAUUGGAUAACACUGGCUUGGAGGGUACUGAUCAUCCAAAGAAGCGCUGAGAUGAUUUGGCCUCCAUUAAUAAGAAUGAUGGACUUUUUUUUUUUUUUGAGACAGAGUUUUGCUCUUGUUGCCCAUGCUGGAGUGCAGUGGCACAAUUUCGGCUCACUGCAACCUCUGCCUCCCAGGUUCAAGAGAUUCUCAUGCCUCAGCCUCCCAAGUAGCUGGGAUUACAGGUGCCUGCCACCAUGCCUGGCUAAUUUUUGUAUUUUUAGUAGAGUCGGGGUUUUGCCAUGUUGACCAGGCUGGUCUUGAAUUCCUGACCUCAAGUGAUCCACCUGCCUCGGUCUCCCGAAGUGCUGGGAUUACAGGCGUGAGACACCGUGCCUGGCCAGAUGGACUUUUUUUGAACAUUUAGUUCCAAGCACCUUCCCUGCAUUUUCUCAGUUAAUCCUCCCAGUGACUCUGAAGCAGGGACUAUGACAAUCUUCAUUUCACAGAUGGGGCAACUCAGGCACAGAGAGGAAGUCAAUGGCCACGGUCGCCCAGCUGAGGAAGGAUGGAGCCGGCUGAGAUCCUGUUCUGGGGAUCUAACUCUGCAGCCUGCAUUCUGGGCUGCUGUAUUCUCCCAUGUUGCUAUCUGACGAGCACAGCAUGGGCUCAGAGUACAGAGAGGAGACACCAGCUAAUAAGGAUAGGUCUGGGGUGAAGGCUGGUGCCUUGGGGAAGAAGAGAGAUGCCCCAUUCUAAAGGGAUGCCGUUGGAAGCUCAUAGUGAUAAAGCAAAGCCAACAGGUUUUGGGGCUGGGAGUUAAGCACACAGCUCUGGUUUCUGCCUUUUCACAGUGGUGAUGAAUGGGCACUGAGACCCUCUCAAGCUAAAGUUGUCAUCACUGCUCUUCAUAGUCUGAAGGUGCAUGAAAUGGUCAACUUUCUUCCAAAGGGCUUUUAUGCCUAAGUCUGAGGUUAGUGUAUAAACAGAUAUUUACUGAAGUCCUGCUGGGUGCAGACACCGUGGCCAGCCCUGAGGCUACAGUCGAGAUGAAGCCAGUCUCUGUCCUCAUGAAGACCUGUCUAUUGAUAAGAAAAGAGAAAGCUCACUGAGCAUUGACCCUGUGCCCACUGCUUUUGGUGCAUCUCUCAUUUAAUCCUUCUAUCAAAUCUGUGAAAUAAACACAUCACCAUCAUCCCUAUUUCACAUUUAGGGAAACAUAUGCUUAGAGAGGGUAAGUAACUUGGUCAAGGUCACACAGCUUCGAACUCUCCUCCCACAGGCGCAGGAAUGAGAUGCAGCAGCUGGGGAAGCCAGGGUCUCUGGCAGUCCUUGUCUCUGGGCAGUGAUCCAGAGAGAGAACACGAUUGUCUCAGCACUGGAUCUUCUUCUGAGUCGUUUUGAAGGAGCAAUUGCAGAGCGUCUCGGUGUUAAACAUCAUGUUGUGAAUGACUCCGUGAUCUCUGACCCAGUGUCCUUGGGGAUAAAGGAGGGGAG